This 1373-nucleotide ribosomal RNA is filed under the name Pseudomonas synxantha. RNAcentral describes it as "partial 23S ribosomal RNA". It matches the Rfam family "Bacterial large subunit ribosomal RNA", at positions 1573 to 2925 of the family's 2925-position model. RNAcentral also lists the same sequence under 1 other name. The record is from RNAcentral. Lineage: Bacteria; Pseudomonadati; Pseudomonadota; Gammaproteobacteria; Pseudomonadales; Pseudomonadaceae.
AUCUUUUAGAUGACGAAGUGGUUGAUGCCAUGCUUCCAAGAAAAGCUUCUAAGCUUCAGGUAACCAGGAACCGUACCCCAAACCGACACAGGUGGUUGGGUAGAGAAUACCAAGGCGCUUGAGAGAACUCGGGUGAAGGAACUAGGCAAAAUGGCACCGUAACUUCGGGAGAAGGUGCGCCGGUGAGGGUGAAGGACUUGCUCCGUAAGCUCAUGCCGGUCGAAGAUACCAGGCCGCUGCGACUGUUUAUUAAAAACACAGCACUCUGCAAACACGAAAGUGGACGUAUAGGGUGUGACGCCUGCCCGGUGCCGGAAGGUUAAUUGAUGGGGUUAGCUAACGCGAAGCUCUUGAUCGAAGCCCCGGUAAACGGCGGCCGUAACUAUAACGGUCCUAAGGUAGCGAAAUUCCUUGUCGGGUAAGUUCCGACCUGCACGAAUGGCGUAACGAUGGCGGCGCUGUCUCCACCCGAGACUCAGUGAAAUUGAAAUCGCUGUGAAGAUGCAGUGUAUCCGCGGCUAGACGGAAAGACCCCGUGAACCUUUACUAUAGCUUUGCACUGGACUUUGAAUUUGCUUGUGUAGGAUAGGUGGGAGGCUUUGAAGCGUGGACGCCAGUCUGCGUGGAGCCAACCUUGAAAUACCACCCUGGCAACUUUGAGGUUCUAACUCAGGUCCGUUAUCCGGAUCGAGGACAGUGUAUGGUGGGUAGUUUGACUGGGGCGGUCUCCUCCUAAAGAGUAACGGAGGAGUACGAAGGUGCGCUCAGACCGGUCGGAAAUCGGUCGUAGAGUAUAAAGGCAAAAGCGCGCUUGACUGCGAGACAGACACGUCGAGCAGGUACGAAAGUAGGUCUUAGUGAUCCGGUGGUUCUGUAUGGAAGGGCCAUCGCUCAACGGAUAAAAGGUACUCCGGGGAUAACAGGCUGAUACCGCCCAAGAGUUCAUAUCGACGGCGGUGUUUGGCACCUCGAUGUCGGCUCAUCACAUCCUGGGGCUGAAGCCGGUCCCAAGGGUAUGGCUGUUCGCCAUUUAAAGUGGUACGCGAGCUGGGUUUAGAACGUCGUGAGACAGUUCGGUCCCUAUCUGCCGUGGACGUUUGAGAUUUGAGAGGGGCUGCUCCUAGUACGAGAGGACCGGAGUGGACGAACCUCUGGUGUUCCGGUUGUCACGCCAGUGGCAUUGCCGGGUAGCUAUGUUCGGAAUAGAUAACCGCUGAAAGCAUCUAAGCGGGAAACUAGCCUCAAGAUGAGAUCUCACUGGGACCUUGAGUCCCCUGAAGGGCCGUCGAAGACUACGACGUUGAUAGGUUGGGUGUGUAAGCGCUGUGAGGCGUUGAGCUAACCAAUACUAAUUGCCCGUGAGGCUUGACCAU